Molecule: ribosomal RNA, 508 nt
Filed under: uncultured bacterium
Lineage: Bacteria
Description: bacterial SSU rRNA
Rfam family: Bacterial small subunit ribosomal RNA
Source: RNAcentral
AGAGUUUGAUUAUGGCUCAGGAUGAACGCUGGCGGCGUGCUUAAUACAUGCAAGUCGAACGAAGACAUCUCGCCGAAGCUUGCUUCAUUGAGAUAUCUUAGUGGCGGACGGGUGAGUAACGCGUGGGUAACCUGCCUUACACAGGGGGAUAACAGUUAGAAAUGACUGCUAAUACCGCAUAAGCGCACAUUAUCGCAUGAUAGAGUGUGAAAAGAUUUAUCGGUGUAAGAUGGACCCGCGUCUGAUUAGCUAGUUGGUGAGGUAACGGCCCACCAAGGCGACGAUCAGUAGCCGGCCUGAGAGGGUGAACGGCCACAUUGGGACUGAGACACGGCCCAAACUCCUACGGGAGGCAGCAGUAGGGAAUAUUGGACAAGUGGGGAAACCCUGAUCCAGCGACGCCGCGUGAGUGAAGAAGUAUUUCGGUAACGUAAAGCUCUAUCAGCAGGGAAAGAAAAUAACGGUACCUGACUAAGGAGCACCGGACUAAAUACGUGCCAGCCGCAGC